This 67-nucleotide transfer RNA is filed under the name Paratriatoma lecticularia. RNAcentral's name for it is "tRNA-Pro". It matches the Rfam family "tRNA". Rfam says of the family: Transfer RNA (tRNA) molecules are approximately 80 nucleotides in length. Their secondary structure includes four short double-helical elements and three loops (D, anti-codon, and T loops). Further hydrogen bonds mediate the characteristic L-shaped molecular structure. tRNAs have two regions of fundamental functional importance: the anti-codon, which is responsible for specific mRNA codon recognition, and the 3' end, to which the tRNAs corresponding amino acid is attached (by aminoacyl-tRNA synthetases). tRNAs cope with the degeneracy of the genetic code in two manners: having more than one tRNA (with a specific anti-codon) for a particular amino acid; and 'wobble' base-pairing, i.e. permitting non-standard base-pairing at the 3rd anti-codon position. Lineage: Eukaryota; Metazoa; Arthropoda; Insecta; Hemiptera; Reduviidae. The record is from RNAcentral.
CAGUAGGUAGUUUAUUAAAAUAUUAAUUUUGGGGAUUAAUGAUGAGGUUUAAAUUCCUUCUUACUGA